RNAcentral lists this ribosomal RNA (423 nucleotides) under uncultured bacterium. RNAcentral's name for it is "bacterial SSU rRNA". It matches the Rfam family "Bacterial small subunit ribosomal RNA", at positions 207 to 622 of the family's 1533-position model. The record is from RNAcentral.
AAGACCUUGCACUUUUGGAGCGGCCGAUGUCUGAUUAGCUAGUUGGUGGGGUAAUGGCCUACCAAAGCUUCGAUCAGUAGCUGGUCUGAGAGGACGGCCAGCCACACUGGGACUGAGACACGGCCCAGACUCCUACGGGAGGCAGCAGUGGGGAAUUUUGGACAAUGGGCGCAAGCCUGAUCCAGCCAUGCCGCGUGAGUGAAGAAGGCCUUCGGGUUGUAAAGCUCUUUCAGUCGGGAAGAAAAGGUUGCGACUAAUAAUCGCAAUUCAUGACGGUACCGGAAGAAGAAGCACCGGCUAACUACGUGCCAGCAGCCGCGGUAAUACGUAGGGUGCGAGCGUUAAUCGGAAUUACUGGGCGUAAAGGGUGCGCAGGCGGUUUUGUAAGUCAGAUGUGAAAUCCCCGGGCUCAACCUGGGAACU